This 492-nucleotide ribosomal RNA is filed under the name uncultured bacterium. RNAcentral describes it as "partial 16S ribosomal RNA". It matches the Rfam family "Bacterial small subunit ribosomal RNA", at positions 29 to 507 of the family's 1533-position model. The record is from RNAcentral.
AGUGAACGCUGGCGGUAGGCCUAACACAUGCAAGUCGAACGGCAGCACAGUAAGAGCUUGCUCUUACGGGUGGCGAGUGGCGGACGGGUGAGGAAUACAUCGGAAUCUACUUUUUCGUGGGGGAUAACGUAGGGAAACUUACGCUAAUACCGCAUACGACCUACGGGUGAAAGCAGGGGAUCUUCGGACCUUGCGCGAUUGAAUGAGCCGAUGUCGGAUUAGCUAGUUGGCGGGGUAAAGGCCCACCAAGGCGACGAUCCGUAGCUGGUCCGGGAGGAUGAACAGGCCACCUGGGACUUAGACACCGUACAGGGCCCUACCGGGGGCAGCAGUUGGGAAUAUUGGACAAUGGGCGCAAGCCUGAUCCAGCCAUACCGCGUGGGUGAAGAAGGCCUUCGGGUUGUAAAGCCCUUUUGUUGGGAAAGAAAAGCAGCAGGUUAAUACCCCGCUGUUCUGACGGUACCCAAAGAAUAAGCACCGGCUAACUUCGUG